AAAGAAAGUGUGGAGCACGUCAGCUGCCAUUACCAAAAGAUAUCAUAUCGUGUUAGGAAAGAUGUAACAGGAAUAAGGAACCCUUUCUAGUAAGAAAAUUGAGAAUUAAGCAUUUUAAGGAAGUACUCGAUAUUCUGGUUGGGAGGCGGAACAGAAACGAUGAAGGGGGAAGACCUAGUUACAUCAAGUUGUAAGGAACCAAUGAUAAAUUAGGAAAAUAGAAAAAUUAAUAUGCAAGGGUAAAAAUGGUAAGUUGUACGAAGAUAGUUUUGUCUUCUCUAUCAUAAUAAAUUAGGAGUCGAAGAUAUCAAAUCGUGUUCGAAAAUAUGUGCCAGGAAUCAGGAACCCUUUCUAGUAAGAAAAUUGAGGAUUAAGCAUAUCUUAAGCGAGUACUCAAUAUUCUGGUUGGGAGGGGAAAGACAAGUGACGAAUGGGGGAGACCCAGUUACAUCAAGUUGCAAGGAACUAAGGAUAAUAUGCAAGGGUAAAAAUGGUAAGUUGUAUGAGGGUAGUUUUGUCUUUUCCAUCACAAUAAAUUAGGAGACGAAGAUAUCAUCAUAUUAGGAAAGAUGUGCCACGAAUAAGGAAUUCUUUCUAUUAAGAAAAUUGAGAUUUUAAGCAAGUACUCAAUAUUCUGGUUGGGAGGAGAAAGAGAAGCGACAAGGGGGGGAGACCCAGUUACAUCAAAUUGUAAGGAACCAAGGAUAUAUUAGGAAAAUAGAAAAAAUAAUAUGCAAGGGUAAAAAUGGUAAGUUGUACGAGGGUAGUUUUGCCUUUUCCAUCAUAAUAAAUUAGGAGACGAAGAUAUCAAAUCGUGCUAGGAAAGAUGUGUCAGGAAUAAGAUCCUUUCCUAGUAAGAAAAUUGAGAUUUUAAGCAAGUACUCAAUAUUUUGGUUGGGAGGAGAAAGAGAAGCGACGAAGGGGGAAGACCCAGUUACAUUAAGUUGUAGGAACCAAGGAUAAAUUAGGAAAAUAGAAAAAAUAAUAUGCAAGGGUAAAGAUGGUAAGUUGUAUGAGGUAGUUUUGUCUUCUCCAUCAUAAUAAAUUGGGAGAGGAAGAUAUCAAAAUGUGUUAGGGAAGAUGUGCCACGAAUAAGGAAUCCUUUCUAGUAAGAAAACCAACGAUUAAGCAUUUUAAGCAAGUACUUGAUAUUCUGGUUGGGAGGAGAAAGAGAAGCGACGAAAAAGCGGGGAGAACUAGUUACAUCAAGUGUUAAGGAACCAAGGAUAAAUUAGAAAAAUAGAAAAAGUAAUAUGCAAGGGUAAAAAUGGUAAGUUGCACAAGGGUAUAACAAAUUAGGAGAAGAAGAUCCGAGAUCAUCAUAUCCGGCAGUUACAAAUUCCUACUCUAUACCAUAUAUUUAAGCAUGUACUCAAGGAAUGAAGGAUAUGGAAAGUUAUUGAAGUUUGAAUAGAAUCUUUCUCUCAAAUCCCACCGAUUCUCAGCUUCUGUCUUUCUUUCCCUCUCUAUCUCUCUCUCUGGGCUUUCUUCCUCUUUCUUCCUAUUUCUUUCAUAAUCGAACCAUGUAUCAGGUUCGUGAUAUAAGUUGACUGCUCGCAGAGUUGGUCAAGCUAAGAGAAUCAUAUUUCACGGGUGAAAAAAUUGCCAUAUAAAAGAAAAAGUGAUUAUUGAGGAUAUACAGUAGCAUGUAACAAGGAUACAUAAAAAAAUUUAAAUAUGACUGAGAUAAAAUAAAUGAGAAGAAUGUUCACCAAAAUGCUUGUCCACAAAUGCAAGCCACAUGGUUACAGCCACCAUUCUUUUCCACAGGUUUGUGACACUUGGGACAAGGCUUUGUAUGAACAGUGAUCCAGUUAACUGUUUCAGAUUCAUCUUGGCACUUUUUUGACCAGAGCUCCCACAUCAAACAGGAACAAGGAGAAUGUGCUUCUGACAAACAACCGAAACAAAACUGUAAACCACAAGAGCAUUCUACCUCACAAAACUCAUCAUCCUCCACCCGAAUGGCAUUCCCACAAUGAGGAGUACUUGGACACCAUUUAACCAUUUUAUUAUCUUCAAUAUAUGACUCAAGAAGAAAACGAUCAAACUUCUCCACCAGAUUAGGAUGCCUCUUACUGACUAAAUUUCUGAUAACAGCUUCAUCACAAAUAGCAUUACAUUUGUGUGCCAUGCAUCUAAUCCUCUUACUCUGACCCUCAUUUAUCUUUAUAACAAAAUGUUCUGUCCAACCUAAAGCAAGAAAAACAAUGGAAGAAUAUAGAGAAAUAAAAUUAAUGGGUGUUCAGUAAUAUAUGGUAAGAAAAAAGGCAAAAGGCAGCACAAAUACAUAAAAAAUUAUAGUGCCUUAAUAGAAACAUAACGGAAAUAAUCAGGGUGCUCACAAUCAUUGCAAAAGCAAUGUCCACAAUCCAUUCUGGUCGACUGAUCAGCAGUCACGUCCUCAAUGCAUAUCUCACAUGUAAUCAUUGGUAAAAAAGCUAUGGACGAACCAGCAUCUUCAGGCUCAAUCACAGUAACACCUGCUGCAGCGAACAAGUUUGGUCUCCCGUUCUCCACAAACACUGCAAACAAUUUCUCCACAUCCCAGCGAUAGUGGAUAAGUAAUGUCCGGGCAUGUUGUUCUUUCACUGAGAGCAACUCCAUCACUCGACGUAAAUCAUCCCUCUAGAUUAAUGCACCAAAACUCAAACAAUCAGGUUUAGCAAACACAAAAUUAUAUUUAAAAACUCAACUCAGAUGAAUCCUCUCUGUCCCUUUACCUGCGCAGCCAAAAGGGAUUCUUUAGUAAUAACCUGAAAAAUCACAGAACCAAUUUCUAAUUAGGGCAAAAAGGAACCGAAAGGAAAACCUGGGAAAUUCGUACCCUACUUCACUUGAUCAAUACAAAUCGGGUAAAACCAACAUAAUUCCAUAACAUGAAGGAAGCUCGAUAACUUAUCAGAGAAAACAAAACCAACACCCCCAUUAAAUUCGACCAAUUUGAGCUCUAAACUUGCAACAUUGAAACAACCGAAAACAAAACAGAGCCCCAAAAAUAAACACAAUUGCAAAAAGAAAGGGAAAGAAAAAAGGACGCAGAGGUCCGCUAAAGCUCACACAUUCACAUUUCGUCAACCGAUAAACUUCACACCCCAACCAAAAAGGAAAGUUCUUUCGCAUUUAUAACCACAACUCGGCGUCAAAUUAACCAGGAAGAAAACUCAUUAGAAGAUUACGGAUACCAAUUUCCCCACACUCCAAACAGCAAUAGAAGCCAGUAAUUCAAACAAGACCCGACGAACACCUGAAAAUGAAUCACUGAGUCCCAGCUAAAAAAUUACCCCCCAAACAUGAACCUGAACCGUUGCAGAAAAAAGAAAUAACAAAACAUUCAGAAAAACAAGUCCACCUUGGUACUAGCUCCCUUGGGCGGGGCCCACUGAACGUCUUCGGCUUCUUCGUUGUCGAGCCCGUCAUCAUCGAGCGAGUCUUGAUCGUCGGAGGAGGGAUAGUAAUCCUCCUCGGCGCUAUUACAAUCACCCAUCGAUCCCCUUCCCUCGUCCAAGAAAACCUGAAGCACUAUAGACGGNNNNNNNNNNNNNNNNNNNNNNNNNNNNNNNNNNNNNNNNNNNNNNNNNNNNNNNNNNNNNNNNNNNNNNNNNNNNNNNNNNNNNNNNNNNNNNNNNNNNNNNNNNNNNNNNNNNNNNNNNNNNNNNNNNNNNNNNNNNNNNNNNNNNNNNNNNNNNNNNNNNNNNNNNNNNNNNNNNNNNNNNNNNNNNNNNNNNNNNNNNNNNNNNNNNNNNNNNAAAAAAUUGCCAUAUAAAAGAAAAAGUGAUUAUUGAGGAUAUACAGUAGCAUGUAACAAGGAUACAUAAAAAAAUUUAAAUAUGACUGAGAUAAAAUAAAUGAGAAGAAUGUUCACCAAAAUGCUUGUCCACAAAUGCAAGCCACAUGGUUACAGCCACCAUUCUUUUCCACAGGUUUGUGACACUUGGGACAAGGCUUUGUAUGAACAGUGAUCCAGUUAACUGUUUCAGAUUCAUCUUGGCACUUUUUUGACCAGAGCUCCCACAUCAAACAGGAACAAGGAGAAUGUGCUUCUGACAAACAACCGAAACAAAACUGUAAACCACAAGAGCAUUCUACCUCACAAAACUCAUCAUCCUCCACCCGAAUGGCAUUCCCACAAUGAGGAGUACUUGGACACCAUUUAACCAUUUUAUUAUCUUCAAUAUAUGACUCAAGAAGAAAACGAUCAAACUUCUCCACCAGAUUAGGAUGCCUCUUACUGACUAAAUUUCUGAUAACAGCUUCAUCACAAAUAGCAUUACAUUUGUGUGCCAUGCAUCUAAUCCUCUUACUCUGACCCUCAUUUAUCUUUAUAACAAAAUGUUCUGUCCAACCUAAAGCAAGAAAAACAAUGGAAGAAUAUAGAGAAAUAAAAUUAAUGGGUGUUCAGUAAUAUAUGGUAAGAAAAAAGGCAAAAGGCAGCACAAAUACAUAAAAAAUUAUAGUGCCUUAAUAGAAACAUAACGGAAA
RNAcentral lists this long non-coding RNA (4482 nucleotides) under Carica papaya (papaya). Its description in RNAcentral is "long non-coding RNA (CPAP_LNC008160)". The record is from RNAcentral. Lineage: Eukaryota; Viridiplantae; Streptophyta; Magnoliopsida; Brassicales; Caricaceae.